CUCACAGUCCCCCUUUCUAUAGUGCAAGCUCGACUAGACAAUUUUGACAAUAGUGAUAUUAAGGCUCUGGCUGGUGCCAUGCAAUCUGCAUUUGGGGUGCCAGCUAGCCACAGGACUCAUCUGGAAAAAAACAACCGCCCAACCCUGAGAACUUUGGGAUUCAUGGGAAAUUACAGUUCCCCUGAUGAUGCAGGACCGGACCAGGAUUUCACUCAUCAACUGGCCUAGAUUAAGGAGAAAGAAAUCUACAUUUCUGAACCUGGUAAUGUCUGAGCAUAGUCAUGGAAGAAAGAGCUGGCCUAUGAGCACCAUCUACAUUCUUACCAUGACUGUGAGACUGAUACUGCCCACAAGGAUACCAGUACUGAGUGAUAAAGAACAUUUUGCUAAGUUGUUCUAUCGUGGUCCUUGCUUAAGGGAGAUUGUUGGAUGGAUGUUGUGGGAACUGAACUUGAAGAAGGAAGAGCCCAUCAUUUGGACACAUCUUAGGGCUUCCCAGCUGCACCAGGUUAUGGACAAGGGACCUGGAACCCCAACCCUUCCAGUCACUAACCACAUGGCCUGAGAUGUCAUUUCGUGCAGCUGGGCUCUUUGUGCUCAUCAGCAAGUGAUGUAAAGCAUGUGAGGUUAGCACACCGUACAUUCUCAAAUCCUGGAGCUACUGGUCCUCUUGUGACUAUUAUUAUUAUUAAUAUUGUAAUGA
This 703-nucleotide long non-coding RNA is filed under the name Pongo abelii (Sumatran orangutan). RNAcentral describes it as "lincRNA". Lineage: Eukaryota; Metazoa; Chordata; Mammalia; Primates; Hominidae. The record is from RNAcentral.